Molecule: long non-coding RNA, 1159 nt
Organism: Homo sapiens (human)
Lineage: Eukaryota; Metazoa; Chordata; Mammalia; Primates; Hominidae
Source: Ensembl
AUUGAGCUAAGAUUGCAGGCGCGUGAACUGUUCACACCACCAAAAAUGUAUCUUUAGCCAAAUCUGAAUUAAUCUGUUCAGAAUGAACAAGCAGAAUAGUCUUUGGAUUUGAUCCAAAUCCCUGAAGCACUUUGGGAAUGAGAAUGGCUAUGCCAGACAGAGAGACCCUGGCGACUUAUGAUACUGCAGAACACAACAGGCACUUCAGAUUGGUCCCAGUAUUGAAUUUAUUUGCAGUUAAGUUGAGGGAGAGCAGUGAUAUUGAGCAGUCAGCUAAAGAAACAAAGCUGUAGAGAGUCAGGAAGCACGUGAGCCUACAGCUGAACUUCACUGUAGAAAGUUGUAAGGAAAAGGCCAAGAACUGAAGCAGAAGAGCAAGCAAGAAAGAAAAUUCUCUGCAGGCUCUGUCUUGCACUGGAGUUGCUACCUUUAGCCCAGUGGAUCACUGUGCUUGAAAUUCCCACAUUAUUCAUUCUGCAGAGUUAAGACAUAAAGUAAGAUCCUGACAAAAGAGUCUUUCCUUUGACCAGAACUCACUAUUUAGCCAGAGUCGGAAGGCAACAAAUACUUGAAAAAUGGCAGGUGCCGUGAUGAGAUGCAAUAAAAGGAGCAUCUUUAGUGCCAGAUGUGGGGAAACAAAGAAGAAUUAUAUACAAUUCCUGAUCUUAAGACAUUUAGUGGCAUUGGAAGACGGACAAUUACAAGUUUAAAUGACUGACGUCGUAAAGUUACAUACACAGUGCACAGGCAAGAUAGCAGAAAAGAUGUCUUAGUUGAGGUUCUACUGAAGCAGACCCUGAGAUUCAAAUGCAAGUAGUGCUUUUGAAAAUGUGGCAUGAGGACGUUAGGUCUGGAACUCCUGCAGGUCUUUCUUUUGGAAAGGAAGCUAGAAAGAGGACAAAGCUGACUCAGAAGGAGGGCGGAGCUGAGAGCACAUGGAGAAACAGACAUGGUGGACUUCUGGAAGUCAACAUUGUUUCUGUACAUCUAUUUUUUCCUUUAUUUCUUUUUGUUUGUUUGUUUAAGAAAUUUGAAUCAGAUUUACUCUUAUUUCUAAUCAAAAGCAUCAUAACCAACAUAAUUUUUUUUUUUCUAACAUCUUGGGGCCUAAAAUCCCUCUGGCUUAUGGACUCUGGGUUUAUAAAUUUAAUCACCUCUG